This 465-nucleotide ribosomal RNA is filed under the name Vreelandella stevensii. Its description in RNAcentral is "partial 16S ribosomal RNA". It matches the Rfam family "Bacterial small subunit ribosomal RNA", at positions 338 to 795 of the family's 1533-position model. The record is from RNAcentral. Lineage: Bacteria; Pseudomonadati; Pseudomonadota; Gammaproteobacteria; Oceanospirillales; Halomonadaceae.
CCUACGGGAGGCAGCAGUGGGGAAUAUUGGACAAUGGGGGGAACCCUGAUCCAGCCAUGCCGCGUGUGUGAAGAAGGCCCUCGGGUUGUAAAGCACUUUCAGUGAGGAAGAACGCCUGGUGGUUAAUACCCAUCAGGAAAGACAUCACUCACAGAAGAAGCACCGGCUAACUCCGUGCCAGCAGCCGCGGUAAUACGGAGGGUGCGAGCGUUAAUCGGAAUUACUGGGCGUAAAGCGCACGUAGGUGGCUUGAUAAGCCGGUUGUGAAAGCCCCGGGCUCAACCUGGGAACGGCAUCCGGAACUGUCAAGCUAGAGUGCAGGAGAGGAAGGUAGAAUUCCCGGUGUAGCGGUGAAAUGCGUAGAGAUCGGGAGGAAUACCAGUGGCGAAGGCGGCCUUCUGGACUGACACUGACACUGAGGUGCGAAAGCGUGGGUAGCAAACAGGAUUAGAUACCCUUGUAGUC